RNAcentral lists this ribosomal RNA (406 nucleotides) under Tasmanipatus barretti. RNAcentral describes it as "SSU rRNA". It matches the Rfam family "Eukaryotic small subunit ribosomal RNA", at positions 984 to 1389 of the family's 1831-position model. Lineage: Eukaryota; Metazoa; Onychophora; Udeonychophora; Euonychophora; Peripatopsidae. RNAcentral also lists the same sequence under 3 other names. The record is from RNAcentral.
CGAAAGUCAGAGGUUCGAAGGCGAUCAGAUACCGCCCUAGUUCUGACCGUAAACGAUGCCACCUGACGAUCCGCCAGGGUUACUACCAUGACUCGGCGGGCAGCCCCCGGGAAACCCAAGCCUUCGGGUUCCGGGGGAAGUAUGGUUGCAAAGCUGAAACUUAAAGGAAUUGACGGAAGGGCACCACCAGGAGUGGAGCCUGCGGCUUAAUUUGACUCAACACGGGGAACCUCACCCGGCCCGGACACCGCGAGGAUUGACAGAUUGAGAGCUCUUUCUCGAUUCGGUGGGUGGUGGUGCAUGGCCGUUCUUAGUUGGUGGAGCGAUUUGUCUGGUUAAUUCCGAUAACGAACGAGACUCUAGCCGGUUAAGUAGCCCGAGCGGUUUUUGAUCUUUGCCGUCCGUU